CCUACGGCGGUCAGCAGUGGGGAAUAUUGGACAAUGGGCGAAAGCCUGAUCCAGCCAUGCCGCGUAUGUGAAGAAGGCCUUCGGGUUGUAAAGCACUUUCAGUGGGGAAGAAAGCCUUGGGGCUAAUACCCUCGAGGAAGGACAUCACCCACAGAAGAAGCACCGGCUAACUCCGUGCCAGCAGCCGCGGUAAUACGGAGGGUGCGAGCGUUAAUCGGAAUUACUGGGCGUAAAGCGCGCGUAGGCGGUCUGAUAAGCCGGUUGUGAAAGCCCCGGGCUCAACCUGGGAACGGCAUCCGGAACUGUCAGGCUAGAGUGCAGGAGAGGAAGGUAGAAUUCCCGGUGUAGCGGUGAAAUGCGUAGAGAUCGGGAGGAAUACCAGUGGCGAAGGCGGCCUUCUGGACUGACACUGACGCUGAGGUGCGAAAGCGUGGGUAGCAAACAGGAUUAGAUACCCGUGUAGUC
RNAcentral lists this ribosomal RNA (465 nucleotides) under Vreelandella stevensii. Its description in RNAcentral is "partial 16S ribosomal RNA". It matches the Rfam family "Bacterial small subunit ribosomal RNA", at positions 338 to 795 of the family's 1533-position model. The record is from RNAcentral. Lineage: Bacteria; Pseudomonadati; Pseudomonadota; Gammaproteobacteria; Oceanospirillales; Halomonadaceae.